CCUACGGGAGGCAGCAGUGGGGAAUUUUGGACAAUGGGGGCAACCCUGAUCCAGCAAUGCCGCGUGAGUUAAGAAGGCCUUCGGGUUGUAAAGCUCUUUUGUCAGGGAAGAAACAGCAGCUCUAACACAGCUGUGAAUGACGGUACCUGAAGAAUAAGCACCGGCUAACUACGUGCCAGCAGCCGCGGUAAUACGUAGGGUGCAAGCGUUAAUCGGAAUUACUGGGCGUAAAGCGUGCGCAGGCGGUUAUAUAAGACAGGUGUGAAAUCCCCGGGCUUAACCUGGGAAUUGCAUCUGUGACUGUAUAGCUAGAGUGUGUCAGAGGGGGGUAGAAUUCCACGUGUAGCAGUGAAAUGCGUAGAUAUGUGGAGGAAUACCGAAUGGCGAAGGCAGCCCCCUGGGAUAACGACUGACGCUCAUGCACGAAAGCGUGGGGAGCAAACAGGAUUAGAUACCCUGGUAGUCCACGCCCUAAACGAUGCUGACUAGUUGUUCGGUAUUUACUCCUGAGUAACGUAGCUAACGCGUGAGUAGAGCGCGUGGAGUACGGUCGCGAGAGUAAACGUACGAAGAAGUAGACGCGAGAGACGAGACGACGGACGACGACGAGGGAGGAGG
RNAcentral lists this ribosomal RNA (618 nucleotides) under uncultured bacterium. Its description in RNAcentral is "bacterial SSU rRNA". It matches the Rfam family "Bacterial small subunit ribosomal RNA", at positions 338 to 951 of the family's 1533-position model. The record is from RNAcentral.